RNAcentral lists this transfer RNA (83 nucleotides) under Patiria miniata (bat star). Its description in RNAcentral is "tRNA-Leu". It matches the Rfam family "tRNA". Rfam says of the family: Transfer RNA (tRNA) molecules are approximately 80 nucleotides in length. Their secondary structure includes four short double-helical elements and three loops (D, anti-codon, and T loops). Further hydrogen bonds mediate the characteristic L-shaped molecular structure. tRNAs have two regions of fundamental functional importance: the anti-codon, which is responsible for specific mRNA codon recognition, and the 3' end, to which the tRNAs corresponding amino acid is attached (by aminoacyl-tRNA synthetases). tRNAs cope with the degeneracy of the genetic code in two manners: having more than one tRNA (with a specific anti-codon) for a particular amino acid; and 'wobble' base-pairing, i.e. permitting non-standard base-pairing at the 3rd anti-codon position. RNAcentral also lists the same sequence under 1 other name. Lineage: Eukaryota; Metazoa; Echinodermata; Asteroidea; Valvatida; Asterinidae. The record is from Rfam by way of RNAcentral.
GUCAGGAUGGCCGAGCGGUCUAAGGCGCUACGUUCAGGUCGUAGUCUACUCUGUAGGCGUGGGUUCGAAUCCCACUCCUGACA